AUGGUCUGGUGGUGUUUACGCAUAGUGAAAGUGAUUGGAGGCUUCAUCAGUUUGAAAUUGGAGAUGGCGAAAACAAUUGUUAUACUCUCUCUUUUCUGCACAAACAAAAGAAUAACAAUACACAAUUUUCCAGAUCCUUUUCUAUUUGAAUUUUUUGUAAUUUGUAAAUGUUGGUUUUGGAGAUCUGAGAGCAGAUUUUUGUAUGAAAACUAUUUGACACAAUAG
Molecule: non-coding RNA, 225 nt
Organism: Vicia faba (fava bean)
Lineage: Eukaryota; Viridiplantae; Streptophyta; Magnoliopsida; Fabales; Fabaceae
Source: the annotation of a GenBank genome assembly